GCAAACUUGGUCAUUUAGAGGAAGUAAAAGUCGUAACAAGGUUUCCGUAGGUGAACCUGCGGAAGGAUCAUUAACGAGACUUGGAUCGUCGGGAGACGAAGCCUGUUUCCGUCCUCAUGUCAAACCACACGUGUUGCUUUCGGCGGAGGCGUUGGGCCGUUCAAUCGGGCUGACCGCCGUCGGUUUUCAGAUUCUAUGAACCUUGAAGUCAAAUUGAUUAAGGAAAUGAAGCAAAACUUUCAACAACGGAUCUCUUGGCUCUGGCAUCGAUGAAGAACGCAGC
This 283-nucleotide unclassified non-coding RNA is filed under the name uncultured fungus. Its description in RNAcentral is "partial contains small subunit ribosomal RNA, internal transcribed spacer 1, and 5.8S ribosomal RNA". The stretch from base 1 to 73 matches the Rfam family "Eukaryotic small subunit ribosomal RNA", at positions 1759 to 1831 of the family's 1831-position model. The record is from RNAcentral. Lineage: Eukaryota; Fungi.